AACCCAGGGAACGCCGUGCUGGCGGCGGGCUGAGGCAAGGAGCCGGGGGUUUCGGCUGUCGGACUCCGCUGCCUGCCGUGGGUUGGGCCGGCGCCUCGCCAGGCCCAGGCCUAUCUGCCGGCAUUCGAGCGAGAAGCAAACAGAACGCUCGCUCCGCGCCCAAAAACGAGCCCCACUCCCCGCCGGGUGGGCUCGCAGCACAGGCGCCCGGUCAGGGAAUGGCAGGCAACCCGCGGCAGCCUCCCCUCCUCCGCUCCUUACAAGGACUCCAGGUGCUGGAGCUUCUGGAGCUGCUGCGCCUCCUCUUUCUUCCUCUUCCUCUCAUGCCGGCCCUGGCUCCUGCCGCCGCCGGCCGCGGACUCGUGGAGGCUCCCGUGCCGCGCCUGGCUGCCCCUCGCCGCUCCCUCCUCCCCCUCCUCCCGUCCCCCUCUCAGCCCGUGGGACAUUAGCGCGGCGAGCAGGAAGACAACGAGACCGCAGGAACACCUCCUUCCCCGCCCUCCCCGCUGCGCAUUUCGGUUUCACUUCCCGGGCCGGGCGGGGCGCUCCGGCCAAGCGCCGCCUUCCUCCGGCGACACUGCGAGCGCGGCCGGGCCCCGGCACGGCCUACGUCGGUGCGGUGCUAUUUCGGUUUGCUGAGGGUCCGUUGGUGCUGAGGAGGUGUGGGUUACGGGACAGGCCACGGACCAGAAGUGCACGCCCUCCUAAAAAGCUCCCGCCGUGGCUCUGGUGCCUGACAAGCACAGGGCACAUCCAUUCUCUUCUGUGUGUGAGCACUGCCAGGGUGCUGCGUCUGUCCCACAGUUCUCAAUUAAUUCGAUCGUACAAUCAUACAGUCAAAUAGCAGAUUUCACACCAGGAUCAUAGCAGUUGACCUGAGCUGCAGAACUCACUGAGGCCCACUUCUAAAGGCUCAGAGACAGAAUCAUUUUGCUACUCUCAGUUAAAUAUCUGCCCAUUUGCAUGAGGCAAAUGCGAGGUAGUAUGAUUUAAGGCAAUCCACUUUGCAUCAGGUAAAGCAUAUUACUGGAUGUUUGUCGGAGGCUAAGAACUUUGCUACCAUGAUACUGCUGGUUUGUGGCAAUGCCAAAUGGCAAUCAGUCCCAUGCGUUGUCAUGUGUCUUCAAGGAACGAGUGAAGCAGGAGAGAUUAGUCAAACUUUGGAACAGCUUUCCAGAGCCUUUGGAUGGUAACAGAAAAGAUAAUUAAUUCCAAGAUGGAGUGUUUCCCAUUUAUGAAUGGUAUUGUUGAGAAGGGAUGCGUGCAAUAAGAAAAAAAAGAAAGGAGAUCUCAGGAAACCAUACCAGUCUCACUUUCAUUUACUCUUUACUGCCCUAGCUUGGCUGAAAUGAACAGAGUUCUGCCAGUCUGGAGCAGUGCUUCAGAUAUUUCAAGAAGUUAAUUCUGGGGGAACUGUUCUCAUAUUGCAACUCCUGACUGUCAGAGCACUCUAAUUCCAGCCUCAAAGCAUCUAAGCAGACACUCUGCAAUUGCUACUGCAGUUUAAACCAUCUGAAGAGCUGGUAUGUUUCAC
RNAcentral lists this long non-coding RNA (1534 nucleotides) under Gallus gallus (chicken). Its description in RNAcentral is "long non-coding RNA NONGGAT003983". Lineage: Eukaryota; Metazoa; Chordata; Aves; Galliformes; Phasianidae. The record is from RNAcentral.